Molecule: ribosomal RNA, 253 nt
Filed under: uncultured bacterium
Lineage: Bacteria
Description: partial 16S ribosomal RNA
Rfam family: Bacterial small subunit ribosomal RNA
Source: RNAcentral
UACGUAGGGUGCGAGCGUUAAUCGGAAUUACUGGGCGUAAAGCGUGCGCAGGCGGUUUUGUAAGACAGUGGUGAAAUCCCCGGGCUCAACCUGGGAACUGCCAUUGUGACUGCAAGGCUGGAGUGCGGCAGAGGGGGAUGGAAUUCCGCGUGUAGCAGUGAAAUGCGUAGAGAUGUGGAGGAAUACCGAUGGCGAAGGCAGCCCCCUGGGCUAUUACUGACGCUCAUGCACGAAAGCGUGGGGAGCAAACAGG